UCCGGUUUUACGGUGAAUCAUCAACGUUUCCCGCCGUGCUCCGCCGACGCGCAAUAAAAACAAAAAGUCUCGCAAGUCAACUCGGCGCAUCUGUCUGGCACACCCGGGCCAGAACUGUACCACGGAUACUUCCAAAAUGGAGGACUUGCUGACCGAAGGAUGCGGAACAUGAGCGGCAGGCCGUGCGUGAGCAGCUCGUCCGUGUACUGGUCCUCGCCGAUGCAGGCGAAAUCCUUCAGCAGGCCCUGGAUCAGCGGGCGGCGCUGCUGCGCGAAGCCGGUCCGCAGCGACUCCAGCCACGUGUGCAGCGUCCACGGAACGCCUGCCCACGACAACCGCGCGCUCAGCGACUAAUCGGGAGGCCGCGACGAGAGCGCGGCGCUGCCUCGAGAUACGAGUGGAAUCUCUUCGGAAGUCGCUCUUUGCAGAGGAUAAAGAAUAUACGGAUGGGUCGAAAGACCCCUGGAAAUGACCGCUACAAAGCAAAACGGCCAACUUCCUGUGCGGCUUCCCAAAACUUUUUCGUGGGUCUCGUCACGCCAGACACGUUUACUUCCCGAGGUCAAAGUGCCUUCGGCGGCUGAAAUCUGAUGCGAUUUCAUUUGUUGGGGUGAACUGCUGAUUUAAGCUCGCGCACUCGAAGAGGCGAUCGACGUUGCGAUGGACACGAGUGACCCGCGAGACGCACUCUCGGGGAACGGCGAGGACGGCAAAACAAACGGCGGCGGCGACAUCGAUUGGCCAGGCGAGGCAGGAAGGCGGCGGCGGGAGGAGG
Long non-coding RNA from Syngnathoides biaculeatus (alligator pipefish), 775 nucleotides. RefSeq lists it as uncharacterized. The record is from RefSeq and is a predicted model, not a curated record. NCBI's taxonomy places the organism in Eukaryota, Metazoa, Chordata, Actinopteri, Syngnathiformes, Syngnathidae. The transcript is spliced from 3 exons.